UCCAACUGAUCAUGUACCACGUCCCGCCUU
RNAcentral lists this small RNA (30 nucleotides) under Bombyx mori (domestic silkworm). Its description in RNAcentral is "ovarian small RNA-26521". Lineage: Eukaryota; Metazoa; Arthropoda; Insecta; Lepidoptera; Bombycidae. The record is from RNAcentral.